This 459-nucleotide ribosomal RNA is filed under the name uncultured bacterium. RNAcentral describes it as "partial 16S ribosomal RNA". It matches the Rfam family "Bacterial small subunit ribosomal RNA", at positions 338 to 795 of the family's 1533-position model. The record is from RNAcentral.
CCUACGGGUGGCAGCAGUGAGGAAUAUUGGUCAAUGGUCGGGAGACUGAACCAGCCAAGCCGCGUGAGGGAGGAAGGUCCAGAGUAUCGUAAACCUCUUUUGUCAGGGAACAAAGGCGGGGACGUGUCCCCGGAUGAGUGUACCUGAAGAACAAGCAUCGGCUAACUCCGUGCCAGCAGCCGCGGUAAUACGGGGGAUGCGAGCGUUAUCCGGAUUUAUUGGGUUUAAAGGGUGCGCGGGCGGUCUGUUAAGUCAGCGGGCAAAGCCCGGGGCUCAACCCCGGCCCGCCGUUGAAACUGGCAGUCUGGAGUGGGGGAGAGGAAUGCGGAAUGCGCGGUGUAGCGGUGAAAUGCAUAGAUAUCGCGCAGAACUCCGAUUGCGAAGGCAGCAUGCCGGCUCCAAACUGACGCUGAGGCACGAAAGCGUGGGUAUCGAACAGGAUUAGAUACCCGAGUAGUC